RNAcentral lists this transfer RNA (87 nucleotides) under Acidobacteriota bacterium. Its description in RNAcentral is "tRNA-Leu". It matches the Rfam family "tRNA". From Rfam's summary of the family: Transfer RNA (tRNA) molecules are approximately 80 nucleotides in length. Their secondary structure includes four short double-helical elements and three loops (D, anti-codon, and T loops). The record is from RNAcentral. RNAcentral also lists the same sequence under 2 other names. Lineage: Bacteria; Pseudomonadati; Acidobacteriota.
GCGGAUGUGGCGGAAUUGGCAGACGCGCAUGGUUCAGGUCCAUGUUCUCGCAAGGGAGUGGAGGUUCAAGUCCUCUCAUCCGCACCA